ACAAAUCCGCAUGACAAGAAUGAAAGAAUGUGAAUUUUCCUAUGGGUUCGACAACGUCUCGAAGAUAAGUACAGAUGUCUUCGUACCGAUCCGCAAGACUCUACUAAACCUGCUCAUGACUCGUGAGACCUAUGUAACCUAGGCUCUGAUACCAACUUGUCACGACUCAAAACUUUUGCUAUCGUGAUGGCGCCUAACGUGGUACUUGGCAAGCCGACACUUCAAAAUACUUCCAACACUUUUAAAUGAAAAAUAAGAAUAACACAUGUUUAAAUCAUCAAAACUCUCAAAAACUGGAUAGAAAGUCAAAACCCAAUACGAAAAUUCUCAAUAUCGGGGUGUCACUGAGUACAUUAGCGUCUAUACAACACAAGUCUAAAAAAUAAUGUCUAUGAAUGACUAAAACUAACUACAUAAAGUGGAAAGAUAGGGAAGGAGAGACAAGGUCUGCGAACGCCGGGCAUCUACCAUGAAACUCCAAUGAUCAAGCUGCGCAAAGAAAUCAACACCCACCGUGUCCGAAAAUACCUGGAUCUGCACAUAAGGUGCAUGGUGUAGAAAGAGUACAACCAACUCAGUAAGUAACAAGACUAAAUAAUAAACUGAAAGUAGUGACGAGCUUCACAAAUAUAGCUCAAUUACAGAAAUUACAACAUAGAAAGAUAGGCAUGCUUUCAAAUUCAAUAAUUAAGGCCAAAAUAGUUAAUUCAUGUCAAGUUCAAUUAAAGCGGGAUAUAAUAUCUCUCAGAAAUUACAUGACAAUAAUAUAUGCCAGCUGAAGUACCACAAUAAUGAAAUCAAGUGCAAAAUCUCAGAGCAACAGUCACUCAGUCCUCCUAUGCUCUCCAUCCUCACAGUUACUUAUUCCUCUCAAUCGCUCAGCACUCGCACUCAGUAGAUACGUGCGCUCACUGGGGUAUGUACAGACUCUGGAGGGGAUACUUUAGCCCAAGCGCUAUAACAAGCCAAUCAUGGCAUAAAUCAAUAAAAUAUGUUGCGGCGUGCAACCCGAUCCCAUAAAUUUCCUCACAAUCAGGCCCUCAGCCUCACUCAGUCAUCAACCUUUCCAGUCUCUCGGGCUCUCAGUAAUCAUGAUAAUCAACCCAAACAAGAAUGAUAUAAUGCAUCAAUAAAGAGUAAUAGAGACUAAGAUAUAAUAUGCAAGUAAAACUAUGAUUGAGUACAAGCAGCAAUUAGCAAAUAAUUUAAUGUGUAAUACGGCCUUUGUGGGUCCCUACAGUACCAACACAUAGCCUAAACAUGAUUUCUUACAUGAUUUUCAGUUUAAUUUCUAUAACACAUGGAGAAAAUAUGGAUAACAACAGAUUAUUCAACUACACAGUUCCAUGGAAUUGACCAAGUCAUCAUUCCUAUGGUGCACGCCCACGCGCUCGUCACCUAGCAUGCGCGUCACCUCUAAACCAAUCACAUGACACAUAAUAUAGGGUUUCAUACCCUCAGGACCAUAUUUAGAACUGUUACUUACCUCAAGCCAUGCAAAUCCCUACUCCAACACACCCUUGCCUUACGAACCGGCCUCCAAAUGCCUCGAAUCUAGCCACAAACAGUUCGAUACAAUCAACACGGACUAAAGGAAUUAAUUCCAUAAGAAAAAUACUAAGUUCUUAAUCAAAAGUUAAAAGUCGACUCAAAAGCCGGCCCCCAGACCCACAUCUCGAAAUCCGAUAAAAGUCACAAAACCCGAAAGCCCAUUUAACGAUGAGUCCAACCAUACCAAAUUUACCAAAAUCCGACACCAAAUCACCACCCAAAACCCCAAAUCAAACUCUCCAAAUCCCUAGCGUCAAAUUCCCAAAUUCCAUCUUAAAUACACAUAAACUAGGUGGGAAUUUCAAUGGGGAAAUAAUAUUAUUGAUUAAAAAUGAUCACAAGUGAAUUACUUCAAGAAACCCCUCAAAAAUCCCCUAAAUAAUCGCCUAAUCCCGAGCUUGAAAUGUUCAAAAUGAAGAAAUAUCGCGAACCCUUGAAUUUAAAUGUUCUGCCCAGCCUUUUCGUUUCUGCGGUUCAUUUAGUCACUUCUGCGGCACCGCUUUUGCCGUCAACCAUCCGCAUCUGCGCAAAUUGUCCGCUUCUGCGGACCAGCCUCCCCAGGCUCUCUACCGCUUCUAUGAUCCUCCACGUGCAGGUGUGAGUCCGCACUUGCGGAAUUGUUUCCGCACCUGCGAUACACCCGAGGCCAUACCAAAUAUCGCUCCAGCACUGCUCCAGCCGCACCUGCAGCCAACCCCUCAUAGGUAUGAUCACACCAGAAAACUCCGAGCUUCAGCAAUGCACUAAGUCCCAUUUUCGAUCCGUUAACCAUUUGAAAUUAACCCAAGGCCCCCCGGGACCUCAAUCAAAUGCACCAACAAGUCCUAAAACACGAUACGAACUUAGUCGAGCCCUCAAAUUACCUCAAACAACAUCAAAAACAUGACUCACACCCCAAUUUAAGCCUAUUAAAACUAAGGAAAUUCCAACUUCUACAAACGACGCCGAGACCUAUCGAAUCACGUCUGACUGACCCCAACGUUUGCACACAAAUCACAAAUGACACCACAGAUCUACUCCAACCCCCGAAAAUCUAAUCCAAGCCAGGUAACCACAAAGUCCACUCUCGGUCUAAUAUCCAAGUUUCCAAUUUUUGCCAUUUCAGGCCUAAUUCAACUAGUACCUCCAAAUCACUAUCUGGACAUGCUCCUAAGUCCAAAAUCAUCCAAUGGAGCUAACAUAACCACCAAAACUCUAUUCCGUAGUCAUUUACUCAUAAGUCAAUAUCCGGUCAAUCUUUUCAACUUAAGCUUCCAACUUUGAGACUAAGUGUCUCAAUUCAUUACGAAAUUUCUCCGGACCCGAACCGACUACCCCGUCAAGUCACAUAACAACUAUAAAUCACAAAAUAAGCAGUAAUUAGGGGAACAGGGCUACAACUCUAGAAACGAUCGGCUUGGUCGUUACACAUGAGUAAGACUAAGAGAAACGCUCAACUACCUACGAACCUUCUACCCUAAUCUUCGACCUCCACACCCUCUUGUCUAGGGCCAUGUCCUUAGUCAGCUCCAGUUGCGCCAUGUCCCGCCUAAUAACCUCUCCCCAAGACUUCUUAGGCCUACCUCUACUCCUCCUGCUGCCUACCGAGGCUAACCACUCGCACCUUCUGACUGGGGCUUCUAUACUUCUCCUCUUAACAUGCCCGAACCAUCGCAACCUCACCUCCCGCAUCUUAUCCUCCACAGGGGCCACUCUCACUUUUCCCAAAUAACUUUAUUCCUAAUCUUAUCCAACCGGGUAUGCCCACACAUCUACCUCAACAUCUUCAUCUCAGCUACUUUUAGCUUCUAGGUAUGAGAGCUCUUAACCGGCCAACACUCUGCUCCAUAUAACAUAGUCGGUCUAACUACAACCUUGUAGAACUUACCUUUAAGUCUCAAUGGCACAUUCUUAUCACAUAAGACACCGGAAGUGAGCCUUCACUUCAUCCAUCCUGCUCCGAUAUGAUGCGUGACAUAUUCAUCAAUAUCCCUGUUACCUUGUAUUAUAGAUCCAAGAUACUUGAAACUACCUCUCAUGGGGAUGACUUGCGUAUCAAGCCUUACUGCCAUAUCCCCUUCCUGGGUACUGUUGCUGAACUUGUACUCAAUUUAUUCCGUCUUGGUCCUGCUCAACUUGAAACCCUUAGACUCUACGGUCUGCCUCCAAAUCUCCAGCCUCUCGUUAACACCACCCGCAUCUUGUCAAUUAAAACUAUGUCAUCAGCAAAUAACAUACACCAUGGCACCUCACCUUGAAUAUGUCUCGUCAAUGCGUCCAUCGCCAAGGAAAAUACGAAUGGACUAAGAGUUGAUCUUGGUGCAACCCCAUCAUAACUGAAAAGUGUUCCGAGUCUCCUCCCGCUAACCUAACUCGAGUCUUGGCUUCAUCAUACAAGUCCUUAAUCACCCUAAUGUAGGCUACUGGAACCCCUUUAGCCUCCAAGCAUCGCCAGAGUACCUCUCUCGGAACUUUGUCAUAUGCUUUCUCUAGGUCAAUGAACAUCAUGUGCAAGUCCUUCGUCAUCUUCCUAUACCACUCCACCAAUCUCCUCACAAUGUGAAUGGCUUCCAUAGUCGAACGCCCCGGCAUGAAACCAAACUAGUUCUCAGAAAUGGACACACUAGUCCCCACCCUCACUUCAACUAUCCUCUCCCAAACUUUCAUAGUAUGGCUUAGGACUUAAACCCCCUAUAAUUAUUGUAGCUUUGGAUAUCACCCUUGUUUUUAUACAGAGGAAUCAUUAUACUCCACCUCCAUUCAUCGGGCAUCUUCUUCGUCCUAAAAAUGACGUUGAACAGAUUAGUGAGCCACUCCAAAUCUGCCCUACCUGCAUUCUUCCAAAAUUCCACAGGUAUUUCAUCUAGCCCAGUAGCUCUACCCCUGCACAUCUUACACAUAGCCCCUCGACCUAUUCUACUAUUAUGCGCCAAUAAUACUCGAAAUCCUGGCGCAUCUCGGAGUGCUCCAAGUCGCCCAGCACAAUGUCCCUAUCACCCUCUUUGUUCAGGAGUUUAUGGAAAUAUAUCUACCAUCUUUGUCUAAUCUGAGCCUCUUCCAUCAAAACUCUACCUUACUCAUCUUUCAUACAUUUAACUUGAUCCAGAUCACGAGCCUUUAUCUCUCUCACCUUGGCUAGCCUGUAUAGCUUCUUGUCCCCGCCUUUGUCCCCAAUCUCUUCAUACAAACGCCCAAACAUCGCAGUCUUAGCCGCAGUAAUCAAUAAAUUUGCCUCUUUCUUAGCCCUCCUAUACCCCUCCAUGUUCAUCCUCUUUGCCUCUUCGUCCAUGCUCUCUAUAAGCGUCAAGUAUGCCGCUUGCUUGGCUUCCACUUUCUCUUGUACCUCCUCACUCUGCCAACAGUCAUCUUCGUGGCCGCUAGAGAAACCCUUCGGGACCCCUAACACUUCUCUUGCAAUUACUUUAAUACACUCCGCUAUCGUGGUCCAUAUAUAGCUCGCAUCCCCACUGCUCCUCCAAGCUCACCGCUGUCGGGUUGACGAUACACGACCCUCUUCCUCCUCUUCCUCACAAUUUCUAAGUCCAUCACCAAUAAUUUAUGCUGAGUUAUGAGAUUCUUGCUUGGUAUAACCUUAUAAUCCAUGCAUAUACUCCAAUCUCUUAGUCCAUCACCAAUAAUCUAUGCUGAGUCGUGAGAUUCUUGCUUGGUAUAACCUUGCAAUCCAUGCAUAGACUCCUAUCGCACUUCCGGAAGACUCUUAUCAAUUUGAGUCUUGGCCAACGAACUCCGGAAUAUAUCCAAGUGCUCCUCCCUUUUCAGAAAACACGAGUUGGUAAUCACCAAAUCAAAGGCUUUAGCACAGUCCAACAAUGAAGUACCUCCUCUACUCCUAACUCCAAAGCCAAAGCCGCCAUGUACACCGUCAUACCCCCAGAUGUCCCCCCCCUCCCCCCCCCCAAUGUGACCAUUGAAGUCAUCUCCUAUGAAUAACUUCUCGGGGAGUGGAAUGCCACGUAUCAACCCGUCAAAUUCUUCCCAGAAGCACCUCUUAAUCUCCUCGUCAAAGCCCACUUGAGGCGCGUAAGCAUUAAUCACAUUUAAAGUAGACUCUCCCAUAACCAACUUAAUAGCCAUCAGUCUGUCGUUCACCCUCCUAACUUCUACCACUAGCUCCCUUAAUAGCCAUAACCAGCUUAAUACCCCAUUCUUACCCCUCUCGUGUCAUGAGACCCACAAUUUAAAUCCAACAGCAUCUCGAGCGUUCUACCCCACCCAUCUAGUCUUCUAGACACAAACUAUGUUAAUCUUCCUCUUCUGGAGGAUUUUUGCUAACUCUAUUGACUUUCCCGUUAAAGUUCCUAUGUUCUAGUAUCCCACUCCUAGCCUAGAGACUCCCUUGCCAGCUUUCCCCUCCCCCCAUCCCACCCAAAGACAUAACCUUAUUCCACUAUCACUCAUCCCAACCACUAUAAUCUACGGAACAUUACGCUAGAAAUGUCGCUAAAACAGACAAAAGAUUCAACUAAAGGAGGUAGGUCUAACACUUACAACUUUAACCACUAGAAAUAUGUAUAGAUAAUAGACAAGCAAAAAUUAAACUAAUGAUAACAAUAAAUAUCUAAAAGAAGGCCAACAGAACAACUACAAAGAAAUCAAAUUACGGUCUAGAAAUCCCUAAAUAGUUACACAAAGAAAAAUAUCCAGGCAGAUGCACUAAAAUAAUUAUAGGCAAUCAAGAAUUAGGAUUAAACUAACAUAAACUAAUUGGAUACUAGCAAGGGAGACAAAUAUAUUAAACAAAAAGCCUGAGGUACCAACUCCCAAUUAGUACAAAACCUGGGUGAAUCAUUGUAAGUGUCAAGGUCGCGCUGCCGUAGUAACCUUAGUCAAUUUUCCGCUGCCUCUAACCAAUUUUGAUGUCCGCCGCAUGCUCUGAUCCAGUAGUCCUGCAAAAACAGAAGGAGGGAACCAAAGGGAAAAGGGGGGAGGAAGAACAGAGGUAUAUGAAGAAAAACCCAACUAGCAAUUCACUAAAAGGCAAUAAUAAGAAUGACAAGAAUAUUAUCUAGUUUACUUUAGUGUUGAAAUCAAAACAGUGUUUAGCACAAAGAUAAUACAAAAAUUCCCAAAGAAGAUAAUAAAAGCAAGCAAUCACUUCAUUAUCUAUGUAAAGCUUGAGAUCACAUGUGAGCUGGAUCACUCAACUACUCUGUCCAAUCUUGAUUCCAGCUCUUCUGGAAUCAUAUUCAUUUCAUGUCAAGAUUUACAACAUGUCCAGAUUCAUUGAAUAUGAGAAUACUGGAUAAUUUCUCAUAAUAUUCCCUACUUCGAUGUUGAAUAUUUUUUAUUUACUGGUAGAACGGUUGAUAAUAUAACAAUCAACAAUUGCAGCAUCAUACAACACAAUCAAAUUAACUUUUCUAAAUUGGAAUUAAAUAUCAUUUAUCAAACUCCUCUAAAUGAAACUAAAGUAGACUUGGACAAACAAAUUGCAAAUACACUUUCCACCAGAAGACAUGCUGAAAUGGACACAUUUUGACCAAUUUCUAUGCUAUACUGACUGAGACAUAUCUGAAUCUGGUGCUGAAUUUACUAUAUAUGUUGCCCUUAAGUGAAGGGCUUCUAUGUUAUUUUCAAUCUUGAUAACACAAUCUCCAUUCAAAACUUCAUAGAUAUUACUACUAUAUUCCUCAUCACUUGACAAAUAAAACAGAAAAUAUGUUAUUGAUUCAUUAUCCUUUUGAAAGAAAGCAGAAUUGAUGUUCAGGCAACCUAAAUCUAUUGUCCGCACAUUUUAUAUUACAAACCUAGAAAGAAAAAAAAUUAAUAUUUAACAUUACGAAGAAAACUAAAAAUCUGUUUGUACCUUGAGAUUGAUUCAAACACCAUGCAGAGCAAAAAGAGGAAUAUCAGCUAGUGACAAUUGCGUCUUCUCUGAAGGUCCACAGGAGUUCUAAAAUACACAUGCAAGAGGAAAUAUUUCAAUUAAGUAGACUCAAAAUCACAGAAAUUAACCUACAAACCCAAAAAAGCUAAAAUUUACAACCUAAAAUACAUAAUGCAGAAGGAGAAAGAGGACUUACAUCUCGAAUUCAAAAACGAGUGUUAUAUCCCUCUUCAAAAUACACCGAUUCUAUCAAAAAUUUUGUUACCUUCAGUAGAGAAUCGAAAAACAGAAAAGCCACAAAUUAGAGAAAAAAUCAGUAAUGGGAAAACACAAAUUAAAAGAGAAAAUAAACCUAAAACACACAUGUAAGAAGAAAGAAGGACAGAAAAACAAAAUCAAAGAAUGGGAAAGAGGAAUUACCAUAGAUCUGAACCCGCAUCGUUCAAAAUAUAACCAGGAAGAAAGCAAAAUUUCGCAUCUCUUUCAUCACGAAGAAAAAAAUUACCAUACAAAAUUUCGCAUCUCUUUCAUUGUUUUUAAUCUUCAAGUGAGGGUUUUUAAAUUUUUCAAGUGAAAGAAAAUGGAAGCUGAAAAGCUUCUCUUUUGUGAAAGUGAAGGAGGGGUUUGGGAAAAAAAGAGGGAAAGGAUUAAAAAAAAAAAAAGGGGAACAAUGGGGUCAGUAGGUGCUUUUUU
RNAcentral lists this long non-coding RNA (8071 nucleotides) under Nicotiana tabacum (common tobacco). RNAcentral describes it as "long non-coding RNA (NTAB_LNC009173)". The record is from RNAcentral. Lineage: Eukaryota; Viridiplantae; Streptophyta; Magnoliopsida; Solanales; Solanaceae.